This 757-nucleotide unclassified non-coding RNA is filed under the name Hevea brasiliensis (rubber tree). The record is from RNAcentral. Lineage: Eukaryota; Viridiplantae; Streptophyta; Magnoliopsida; Malpighiales; Euphorbiaceae.
CAGGUACCGUAGAUCUGCAACCUUGCUCUAGUGCAUCUCAUUUACUUCCUUAUGUUCAGUUAUUAUAAUUGGAUCUCUUAUACUCAAUCAUAUCAAACAAAUGUUACUUUAUAUGGUUUCUUGCAGAUAUAAUAGCAAUUCAACAUAUGUGGGUAGUUUUUUAUCUGACAAGAACAAUGGUAUUUUCCAGAAGUUUGCCCCGAAAAUUAAAUAAUAAUUAUAUUUGAAUAUAGAACAUAUAACUUUAGUGUUGAGGGAAACUUAAGAAGCAGCCCAUCUUUUUUAUGUAAUUUUUUUUUUCCUGGUUUAACCAAGGAGCUUUCAAUUUCCAGAAAUCACUUAGGAAAAAGCAAGGGAAGUUUUUGCAUGGAAUUAUGAUUCAGUUGAUUAUAUUUUUAACAUACGAGUGCUCCACAUUUGAUCAAGGGCUUAACAAUAGACAAUGUGCCAAACUUGCCUCUUUCUUCCUUUUGUGUGGAUUUCUUGACAGAAAUGAACCAUUAAAUGGCUUAAUCAAUGAAAUGAUGAUUCUUUCACUUGUUCAGUCGUCUAUGGAAAAUUUGUUGGCUGAAUUCAUCUUAAUUGUUGUCACACUUGAUACCCAAGAUUGAAACAGCUUGUGUAUUUUUUGUAUGCUAAUAUUGUUAUGUGUUUGAUGGUUGUCACAUCCUCUCCUGUAUUAAUCUGCCUCAUAGUUGUAAUUAUGAACUUACUUUUGCAGAAUCGGUUGCUUGCAAUGAACUACAUAAAUGAGGGA